AUCACCUCUCUUCGUGUCUUCUGGUGAGCUCAACCAAAGGCUGGCAGACUAAGUAUUGCAAUAAUAAAAGCAAGAAAUUUAAAGGCAGUGGAUAUCACAGGAGCAUCAGAUCCCUACAUGAAGGUUUCUCUAAUGUGUGAAGGAAGGCGACUAAAGAAAAGAAAAACUUCCACCAAGAAGAAUGCCCUUAAUCCUGUUUACAAUGAAGCCGCAGCCUUUGACGUCCCUCCAGAAAAUGCUGACCAAAUUAACUUGUUGAUAGCUGUGAUGGAUUAUGACCAGUGAGAUACCUGUAGCUGCAAAAUGACAUCAUCUCAAAAUCUAGUACAGUAGUUUGUAGUUUUGCAUCCAGGAAUGAAGUUAUCCUUUUUCUCGCAAUGUAAGGGAAAUCAAAUAUUUUCUCACAUUGAGUCCGGUGGAAGGCUAAAAUGUCUCAUUGUCAGGCAGAAUUUCCUUUCUAAAUUUUAAAAUGCAGAUUUGCAUCCAUAACAACCAUAACUAAGCUGCACGAGUUUACCAGAACAGAAAUAACUGAGCAUACAAUCAGCUCACACACCGAUUUUCUGCUUAUGAGCAGCUGCACUAACCCCUUGGACACAUGCCUCAGUUUAUAAAAUUAGGCUCAGUUUACUUGUAACUAGUUACAGAAAACAAAUAACAUUUUACAUUUCUCAUACAACAUUACAAUAAAUGCAUCUAGAAACACAGUGUUUGCUACCGCGGAUAAUAUACUAAAUUGUUUUGAUUUGUGGAAAAUUCAAAGAGCAAACCCUUGUAAUUUGUACUUUAUUAUAUUAUACUUUAUUAUAUAUAUCUAAAAAAUCAUGAUUAUUGCCUCUAUGAAAUAUGCAAAUGGUACAAUUUGAAAGCUAAUGCUUUAUGAAAAGCAUAUUAUGGAAUUUUCACAGUGUGGGUCACAACAAUGUCACUGCAGUACGUCAAGUAGGCAACGAUGCAGAAAGUCUGGGUUGUGACAACUGGAGUGAAAUGCUCUCACAUCCUCGGAAGCCCAUUGCCCACUGGCAUCCUCUUGCAGAGGGCCUAUUCAGCAGAAAUGUUAUGCAGGUCUUCUGUGCUUGGACGGCUGCCGAAGGGGCUUCCUCACCCUUCUAACCUAUUCAGCAGGAAUUUGGCAUUCCUCUGAACUCUUUCUCAGCCAUAUCCUCAGAGCUAUUCCACAGAGUCCAGCGGGGAAUCAAGUGGGAGAGGGCAUCCAGCGCCCCCAGGCUGUGCAGAGAAAUGCAUACACAGCAUAUCAGGUUGGUUCCUGAAUCAGGAUUAGGCUCAUCGAGAGCUCUGGAACCUCUGUGGCCACAACCAUAGGACCCUGAAUACUGCUGAAUAGAACCCUCAGUCUUCCACUGUGUGAGGAGCUAUUGGUUUCCAGUAGUGCAAUAUUAUCCACUUGUAGCAUUAGUUCUGCACCUGACACUAUUGCUGCUGAUAGUUUUUUGCAUGGUCAUAAGCAUUACCCAAAUUCAAGUCAAAUGUUUUGCUCAUUAGAAUAACCCAGGUUUUACAAGCAACAUGACAGCAGUGAAAACAACAGAUAUUGGAAUCAGCUUCACAUAUGAUUAUUGUAUUUGCAAAGGAAAAAAGAAGUGCAGUAUUGUAAAUGUAAAGCUAUGUAAAUAAUUUUUUCCCAAGAAUGAUUGUCAGCAGACUUUUUUGAUGGUGAGCUGUAUCUUUCAUCUCCAUGUCUCCUUUCAGCUUACAUGAAAACAAGACUAAUUCACUCCUUUGCAGAUAUGUUUCAAAUCCUUCAAAGCUGUAAGAAGUUCUGUUGGGUGAGAACAAGAUACAUAGUGUUUGCAAUGACAGUGUGUUCUUUCAGAAAGAAGAUAAGGGUCUGUGUAGUGUGGAGACUGGGAGCCCUCGGUGUUAUCAGAUGAUUUUCCAGUCACUGCUUCUUCACUGUGUCCAUAACACUGUGAAGGGUUGGAAGAACCUCACAGGUGGCUUCCUUCCAUCAUACACACAAGCACACACACACACAUCAUUUUAAGAUGCCACUCCAAACCUAUAUAAUGUCUGUGAAGGCUAUUAUUUGUAGUAGAACCAACAUUGACAGGGCUACCUUCAAUGGCUGCACAUUAUAAAUACUAAUGAAUUCUGACUACUUAAAAAAAAAAAUAAAAGCAAAGCACUGAAUUCUUUCACAUAAUGAACUCUAGGUCCUGGAACAACAGUCCCCUGGAUAAGUUUUGCUCAUUAUUUAUCUAUGCAUAGGGUUAACUCUUAAUUUUUUCAUAGAGGGACUUUGAAUCAAGUUUUUACAUCAAUAUCUUUACCUUAAAAGGGCAAAUGCAAAUUAUGUGUGUAUUAUACAAUCCAGUUGCCUGCUAAACACAAGUAGGUAGCCCUUGUCUUUGUAUAUACUGUUCAGGCAAGUUUAUGCAUAUGAACAUUCUUUUGCAUCUCGUAUGGGUUAAAUGCUUACCAUUCAUUUCAGUUUCUA
Lagopus leucura (white-tailed ptarmigan) is the source of this 2458-nucleotide long non-coding RNA. RefSeq lists it as uncharacterized. The record is from RefSeq and is a predicted model, not a curated record. NCBI's taxonomy places the organism in Eukaryota, Metazoa, Chordata, Aves, Galliformes, Phasianidae. The transcript is spliced from 5 exons.